Molecule: ribosomal RNA, 532 nt
Filed under: Bifidobacterium pseudocatenulatum
Lineage: Bacteria; Bacillati; Actinomycetota; Actinomycetes; Bifidobacteriales; Bifidobacteriaceae
Description: bacterial SSU rRNA
Rfam family: Bacterial small subunit ribosomal RNA
Source: RNAcentral
GGGUGGUAAUGCCGGAUGCUCCGACUCCUCGCAUGGGGUGUCGGGAAAGAUUUCAUCGGUAUGGGAUGGGGUCGCGUCCUAUCAGGUAGUCGGCGGGGUAACGGCCCACCGAGCCUACGACGGGUAGCCGGCCUGAGAGGGCGACCGGCCACAUUGGGACUGAGAUACGGCCCAGACUCCUACGGGAGGCAGCAGUGGGGAAUAUUGCACAAUGGGCGCAAGCCUGAUGCAGCGACGCCGCGUGCGGGAUGACGGCCUUCGGGUUGUAAACCGCUUUUGAUCGGGAGCAAGCCUUCGGGUGAGUGUACCUUUCGAAUAAGCACCGGCUAACUACGUGCCAGCAGCCGCGGUAAUACGUAGGGUGCAAGCGUUAUCCGGAAUUAUUGGGCGUAAAGGGCUCGUAGGCGGUUCGUCGCGUCCGGUGUGAAAGUCCAUCGCUUAACGGUGGAUCUGCGCCGGGUACGGGCGGGCUGGAGUGCGGUAGGGGAGACUGGAAUUCCCGGUGUAACGGUGGAAUGUGUAGAUAUCGGAA